Non-coding RNA from Meira miltonrushii, 72 nucleotides. NCBI's taxonomy places the organism in Eukaryota, Fungi, Basidiomycota, Exobasidiomycetes, Exobasidiales, Brachybasidiaceae. The record is from the annotation of a RefSeq genome assembly.
UUCCGUCUGGUGUACCGGUUAGCACGUUAUCUUCACACGGUAAAAGACCCGGUUCGACCCCGGGGAUGGAAA